GACGAACGCUGGCGGCGUGCUUAACACAUGCAAGUCGAACGGAAAGGCCCUGCUUUUGUGGGGUGCUCGAGUGGCGAACGGGUGAGUAACACGUGAGUAACCUGCCCUUGACUUUGGGAUAACUUCAGGAAACUGGGGCUAAUACCGGAUAGGAGCUCCUGCUGCAUGGUGGGGGUUGGAAAGUUUCGGCGGUUGGGGAUGGACUCGCGGCUUAUCAGCUUGUUGGUGGGGGAGUGGCUUGCCAAGGCUUUGACGGGUAGCCGGCCUGAGAGGGUGACCGGCCACAUUGGGACUGAGAGACGGCGCAGACGCCUACGGGAGGCAGAAGUGGGGAAUAUUACACAAUGGGCGGAAGCCUGAUGCAGCAACGCCACGUGCGGAAUGACGGCCUUCGGGUUGUAAACCGCUUUCGCCUGUUACGAAGCGUGAGUGACGGUAAUGGGUAAAGAAGCACCGGCUAACUACGUG
This 468-nucleotide ribosomal RNA is filed under the name uncultured bacterium. RNAcentral's name for it is "partial 16S ribosomal RNA". It matches the Rfam family "Bacterial small subunit ribosomal RNA", at positions 28 to 507 of the family's 1533-position model. The record is from RNAcentral.